CAGAGCUGUAGAUUAGAAGUACUAAAGCGUCGUUCUAUUGUGUGUGCGUAGGUGUGUGCUGAGAAGGAGUCUACAGUUCUUGUGCCUGCUGGCCUCGUUUCUGGGUCCUGGUGACUUUAGUGGCACUUCCCACCCCACAGGGACACUUGUGCGCAUGGCUGGCCAUCGUAAUGUGUUUCCAUUGGAAAUCAUGCUGGCACAGAUGUUUUCAGGCUACAGGCUGCAUGCUAGCAGAGUGACCUGUAGCUGGAAUUCCCUGGCAUAGAAACACUCAGGCUGCUCAGGCAGGGCACAGGCGUGAGGUCCCUCAUGGAAUCCUGUGUUUGGGGAUUUGAUUCAGCUAGGCAGUUCCAGAGACUUCACUGUACCAGGAAACCCCGUGUCAGCAAGGUCCUUGGGGCUAACUUGGGAUGCUGAUCACCAAGCCUCAGAAUUGCCAAGGUCAAGGCUCCCCACAGGCUGCCGUGCCAGAGCUGCUCAUGGGGCACUGUUGCUCUACCCACUCAUUUCGGGACUUUGCUCACAGGGAUGAGGUGUGCAGGGAGCUCAUGGUCCUGUGAUGUGUCCUGCAGGACUUUCCACCACGAUACUCUCACCUUUCCAGAGGUGCUACUUGAAGCUCUCCUCCUCUUCAAAGUGGAGCACGAGGAGAUGCGAAGAAUUGGAAACUGCAAACGCCACUCGCCAGCUUCAGGGAUUUAGCUUUCAUUGGUUGCAGCCACGCUCAUAUUGUGAGGCCCCAGAACUAUGCAAUGUCUUGAUUAUCACCCAGGCCCCUCAGACCUCUGCAUCUGCUCCCACAAAAGCAUCUUGUAAGUUCCAAGGGCAUCUUGUUUUGCAUCCAACAACAUCUUUGUAGAAAAUUCACUCAUUUUUUUUAACGAAUCUUGUGCCACUGUUAUGUAUCAGCUUUGCUAGGUGCUGGACACAGUAGUGAAGCCCCGGGGGCUUGCAUCUAAUGAUACACCCAGGUUGAUGAGCCACUCAGCUACAAUCAUAAAGGUGUCCUGCCAACAAGAAAGGACACCUUCCUAAGAAAAGGAAAGAGUAUUUGAGCUAAUUAUUUAUAUUCUAGGCAAAUCAAGGAAUCUGCCUAAAAUCGGAUCACAGCUUAAACAUCAAU
Molecule: long non-coding RNA, 1123 nt
Filed under: Ictidomys tridecemlineatus (thirteen-lined ground squirrel)
Lineage: Eukaryota; Metazoa; Chordata; Mammalia; Rodentia; Sciuridae
Description: lncRNA (ENSSTOG00000034351.1)
Source: RNAcentral